This 69-nucleotide transfer RNA is filed under the name Ictidomys tridecemlineatus (thirteen-lined ground squirrel). RNAcentral describes it as "Spermophilus tridecemlineatus (thirteen-lined ground squirrel) tRNA". It matches the Rfam family "tRNA". From Rfam's summary of the family: Transfer RNA (tRNA) molecules are approximately 80 nucleotides in length. Their secondary structure includes four short double-helical elements and three loops (D, anti-codon, and T loops). Lineage: Eukaryota; Metazoa; Chordata; Mammalia; Rodentia; Sciuridae. The record is from Rfam by way of RNAcentral.
GGUGUUGUGGCUCAGUGGUAGAGCGCUCACCUAACAUGCGUGGGGCACUGGGUUAGAUCCUCAGCACCA